This 347-nucleotide ribosomal RNA is filed under the name Hypocreales sp. H14. RNAcentral describes it as "bacterial SSU rRNA". It matches the Rfam family "Eukaryotic small subunit ribosomal RNA", at positions 57 to 375 of the family's 1831-position model. Lineage: Eukaryota; Fungi; Ascomycota; Sordariomycetes; Hypocreales. The record is from RNAcentral.
ANGNCNGNUCUAGUNUAGCAAUUAUACCGCGAAACUGCGAAUGGCUCAUUAUAUAAGUUAUCGUUUAUUUGAUAAUACUUUACUACUUGGAUAACCGUGGUAAUUCUAGAGUAAUACAUCUAAAAAUCCCGACUUCGGAAGGGGUAUUAUUAGAUUAAAACCAAUGCCCCUCGGGGCUCUCUGGUGAAUCAUGAUAACUAGUCGAAUCGACAGGCCUUGUGCCGGCGAUGGCUCAUUCAAAUUUCUUCCCUAUCAACUUUCGAUGUUUGGGUCUUGUCCAAACAUGGGGCAACGGGUAACGGGGAAUGGGGCGGGGGCGGCGGGCCGGGCGCGGGGCGCGGCGGGCG